AUGAAGGAAAAGGAACUUGACCCUGGAGAUGCAAAGCAGAACAUUGAAGAAAGAGCCAAAAAUUGGUGCUUACAUCUUGGUGCUACAUGGCAGUUGCCUAUGUGUACAUCUCCAAAUCCAGGGAACUGGGACAGCUCGUUUGUGAGUGAGGGAGAGGAAAAUGACCUCACAUGUCCUGUAAAGAAAAGCGUUCAGGUGAGCAAUUAUCAGACAAUAGCUGAUGCUCUGGAAUUUCCUCUGACAAUGGCAAUUUGUUCUCUUGCAUGUUCUCACGGCAUUAAAAGAGAAGUUGGGAGGACCAGGUACUCCGGCCUACUGAGAGUGACAGCGUGGUGGUUCAGGAGUGCGUUGCCUUUAGAUUACAAAAGUAACUUUUGCCAUUCCAGACUGCCCCAUCCUGCUCAGGUCAACCACAAACAUCCUCCGGAGGAUGAACAUACUCUGGGACAUAAAAAUGAGAUUGUAACUCCUGGAGACACCCAGUGUUGGCACCAGGGUCUUGGCUAGGUACAGAGUGACUGAGUGACUGCUCAUCACUCUCCUAUACCUAGACAUGGCAUUCAGUUGUUGUCUUAGACCAUGACGCAGUGCUUCACCCCAGAACUGUCUGCAUCCCUCACUUUUUAUAAAUGAAAAAACGUUAGGAAGAAAAAAAUCUCCCUUUAAAAUGAUUUAAUCCAUUGGAAUAUCCUCAGACUGAUUCACAUAUAGGCUCAGAAACGGAUCAUUAAAUGAUCUCAUUCUUUAGCCUGUUUCAAGGAGCUAAUAACUCCUUUAAAGUUCAUAAUAUAAUACCCUUAUAAUGAAUAUUACUCUGUGUGGGCUAUUUUUAUGUGAUAAUAACAACCUGAAGGGAAAGUUCAUCAUGGUGGAAAUAUAUAAUGUAGCUAAGAGAAAGAAAGCUCUCACUCUCUCCAGUGAGAACUGCAGAAAGGAUGAAGCAGAGAAGUAUUAUCAUACAGCAUUUACUGAAAACAUGUUGACUGUUUGUUUGAAACGAGGGGAAUGGCCAGCCAGCUGGCAGCCUUCUGAAAGCCUGCGUGUCUCUUCUGAGCAGAUGGUGCAAAGCAGAACCUGAACACAAAGACUUCUUGGUUUGUCUUAGGUGCUCAGAAAUUUGCUUCAAGGCACAAAUGUGGACUGCUCUACGACCACUGCCACUGCUGUCAGAGAAAUAGUUAGGGUAGGAAGCAUUUUAACAUGGGGAAGAGAGCAUUUCGUACAAAGCAUUUGUUUUCCUAUUGAAAUAAACCUGGUUCUGUGAUCUCUGUGCCCCA
RNAcentral lists this long non-coding RNA (1277 nucleotides) under Anser cygnoides (Swan goose). RNAcentral's name for it is "lncRNA (ENSACDG00005018524.1)". The record is from RNAcentral. Lineage: Eukaryota; Metazoa; Chordata; Aves; Anseriformes; Anatidae.